Cinara cedri is the source of this 359-nucleotide non-coding RNA. The record is from the annotation of a GenBank genome assembly. Lineage: Eukaryota; Metazoa; Arthropoda; Insecta; Hemiptera; Aphididae.
GUAUAAUAUAUUAAUAGAGUAUAGAAAAUGCAAAAAGGGGCGAAACUCGUAUAUCUAAAUAAAUUGGAUGGAACGAAAUUAGUAAAUCCAUUUUAAAAACCUGGGACAAAAUUAGUGGGUAUCUUUAAUUUCAAAUUUUACAUUUGGGACGAAACUCAGAUGCAGCCUUAUACUACUUAAAAGGGUUAUAAAUAAUAAUAAUAUGAAAAAAAGUUUAUCGACUGUAUUAGAUAUCUUUAUUGAAAAUUAAAAAAAAAUGCAUAUAUACCUAAUUUGUCAAACCUGGUGCCUAAAAAUGUGCAACAAUAGUUAACGAAUUACACAAAUCUAAAAAAAUUAAUUUCUAUAUCAAGUUAUAG